Molecule: ribosomal RNA, 497 nt
Filed under: uncultured bacterium
Lineage: Bacteria
Description: partial 16S ribosomal RNA
Rfam family: Bacterial small subunit ribosomal RNA
Source: RNAcentral
GAUGAACGCUGGCGGCGUGCCUAAUACAUGCCAGUCGAGCGAACGGACGAGAAGCUUGCUUCUCUGAUGUUAGCGGCGGACGGGUGAGUAACACGUGGAUAACCUACCUAUAAGACUGGGAUAACUUCGGGAAACCGUAGCUAAUACCGGAUAAUAUUUUGAACCGCAUGGUUCAAAAGUGAAAGACGGUCUUGCUGUCACUUACAGAUGGAUCCGCGCUGCAUUAGCUAGUUGGUAAGGUAACGGCUUACCAAGGCAACGAUGCAUAGCCGACCUGAGAGGGUGAUCGGCCACACUGGAACUGAGACACGGUCCAGACUCCUACGGGAGGCAGCAGUAGGGAAUCUUCCGCAAUGGGCGAAAGCCUGACGGAGCAACGCCGCGUGAGUGAUGAAGGUCUUCGGAUCGUAAAACUCUGUUAUUAGGGAAGAACAUAUGUGUAAGUAACUGUGCACAUCUUGACGGUACCUAAUCAGAAAGCCACGGCUAACUACGUG